UUAGAAGCAGCCAUCCUUUAAAGAAAGCGUAACAGCUCACUGGUCAAGCGCUCCUGCGCGGAAAAUGUAACGGGGCUUAAGUGAUACACCGAAGCUGCGGAUUCGAUCUUUGAUCGAGUGGUAGCGGAGCGUUCUGUAGGCCGAUGAAGGCGGACCCGCGAGGGCCGUUGGAGGUAUCAGAAGUGAGAAUGCUGACAUGAG
Molecule: ribosomal RNA, 201 nt
Filed under: Pelagodinium bei
Lineage: Eukaryota; Dinophyceae; Suessiales; Suessiaceae
Description: Pelagodinium beii partial Bacterial large subunit ribosomal RNA
Rfam family: Bacterial large subunit ribosomal RNA
Source: RNAcentral